RNAcentral lists this ribosomal RNA (638 nucleotides) under Corynebacterium sp. RNAcentral describes it as "bacterial SSU rRNA". It matches the Rfam family "Bacterial small subunit ribosomal RNA", at positions 89 to 740 of the family's 1533-position model. Lineage: Bacteria; Bacillati; Actinomycetota; Actinomycetes; Mycobacteriales; Corynebacteriaceae. The record is from RNAcentral.
ACUCGAGUGGCGAACGGGUGAGUAACACGUGGGUGAUCUGCCCUGUACUUCGGGAUAAGCUUGGGAAACUGGGUCUAAUACCGGAUAGGACAACUUUUUGGAUAUUGUUGUGGAAAGCUUUUGCGGUAUGGGAUGAGCUCGCGGCCUAUCAGCUUGUUGGUGGGGUAAUGGCCUACCAAGGCGUCGACGGGUAGCCGGCCUGAGAGGGUGUACGGCCACAUUGGGACUGAGAUACGGCCCAGACUCCUACGGGAGGCAGCAGUGGGGAAUAUUGCACAAUGGGCGCAAGCCUGAUGCAGCGACGCCGCGUGGGGGAUGAAGGCCUUCGGGUUGUAAACUCCUUUCGCUAGGGACGAAGCAUUUUUGUGACGGUACCUGGAGAAGAAGCACCGGCUAACUACGUGCCAGCAGCCGCGGUAAUACGUAGGGUGCGAGCGUUGUCCGGAAUUACUGGGCGUAAAGAGCUCGUAGGUGGUUUGUCGCGUCGUUUGUGUAAGUCCACAGCUUAACUGUGGGACUGCAGGCGAUACGGGCAUAACUUGAGUGCUGUAGGGGAGACUGGAAUUCCUGGUGUAGCGGUGAAAUGCGCAGAUAUCAGGAGGAACACCGAUGGCGAAGGCAGGUCUCUGGGCAGUAAC